This 429-nucleotide ribosomal RNA is filed under the name Gemmatimonadota bacterium. RNAcentral's name for it is "Gemmatimonadetes bacterium partial 16S ribosomal RNA". It matches the Rfam family "Bacterial small subunit ribosomal RNA", at positions 355 to 776 of the family's 1533-position model. Lineage: Bacteria; Pseudomonadati; Gemmatimonadota. The record is from RNAcentral.
UAGGGAAUCUUCGGCAAUGGACGAAAGUCUGACCGAGCAACGCCGCGUGAGUGAAGAAGGUUUUCGGAUCGUAAAACUCUGUUGUUAGAGAAGAACAAGGACGUUAGUAACUGAACGUCCCCUGACGGUAUCUAACCAGAAAGCCACGGCUAACUACGUGCCAGCAGCCGCGGUAAUACGUAGGUGGCAAGCGUUGUCCGGAUUUAUUGGGCGUAAAGCGAGCGCAGGCGGUUUCUUAAGUCUGAUGUGAAAGCCCCCGGCUCAACCGGGGAGGGUCAUAGGAAACUGGGGGACUUGAGUGCAGAAGAGGGGAGUGGAAUUCCAUGUGUAGCGGUGAAAUGCGUAGAUAUAUGGGGGAACACCAGUGGCGAAGGCGGCUCUCUGGUCUGUAACUGACGCUGAGGCUCGAAAGCGUGGGGAGCAAACAGG